CCUACGGGAGGCAGCAGUGAGGAAUAUUGGUCAAUGGCCGAGAGGCUGAACCAGCCAAGUAGCGUGAGGGAAGACUGCCCUACGGGUUGUAAACCUCUUUUGUCGGGGAGCAAAGCGAAGCACGUGUGGUUCAUUGAGAGUACUCGAUGAAAAAGGAUCGGCUAACUCCGUGCCAGCAGCCGCGGUAAUACGGAGGAUGCGAGCGUUAUCCGGAUUUAUUGGGUUUAAAGGGUGCGUAGGGGGGUGGGCAAGUCAGUGGUUAAAGUUCGGGGCCCAAACCCGGAAUUGCGGUUGAUACUGCAUGCCUUGAGUGCGGGAGAGGUAGGCGGAAUGCGUGGUGUAGCGGUGAAAUGCAUAGAUAUCACGAAGAACUCCGAUUGCGAAGGCAGCAUACCGGCGCGCAACUGACACUGAUGCACGAAAGCGUGGGUAUCGAACAGGAUUAGAUACCCUGGUAGUC
Molecule: ribosomal RNA, 460 nt
Filed under: uncultured bacterium
Lineage: Bacteria
Description: partial 16S ribosomal RNA
Rfam family: Bacterial small subunit ribosomal RNA
Source: RNAcentral